This 251-nucleotide ribosomal RNA is filed under the name uncultured prokaryote. Its description in RNAcentral is "partial 16S rRNA". It matches the Rfam family "Bacterial small subunit ribosomal RNA", at positions 525 to 775 of the family's 1533-position model. The record is from RNAcentral.
ACGUAGGGGGCGAGCGUUAUUCGGAAUUACUGGGUGUAAAGGGUAUGUAGGCGGCCCUUCAAGUCGCGUGUCAAAGUCCAGUGCUCAACGCUGGGUGUGCGCGCGAUACUGACGGGCUUGAGUGCUGGAGAGGGGAACGGAAUUCCCGGUGUAGUGGUAAAAUUCGUAGAGAUCGGGAGGAACACCAGCGGCGAAGGCGGUUUACUAGACUGUUACUGACGCUAAGAUGCGAAAGCGUGGGGAGCAAACAG